Salvia miltiorrhiza (redroot sage) is the source of this 947-nucleotide long non-coding RNA. RefSeq lists it as uncharacterized. The record is from RefSeq and is a predicted model, not a curated record. The transcript has 3 exons. Lineage: Eukaryota; Viridiplantae; Streptophyta; Magnoliopsida; Lamiales; Lamiaceae.
GCUGGCAACAGACUUUGUGUGUAGUAAAAGAAUGGUGGAAAUGAUUCCAAACAUUAAAAAGCUGGGAAUAUGUUACUCCAAGGAGAAGUCUGAUGCGGAUGCUGGCUAUCGCCUCAACAAUCUUAAGUAUCUAUGUCGACUUGAGAAAUUGAAGUUGGAGAUGCCUGAAGGUUCUUUAUCCAGAAAACAAUAUGAUGAAAUGACAUUGGGGAUGCGUGGAGGUUUUUCAUUCAGACUAGUUGAUAAGAUACUUGGAUGGAUUUCAUUUAGACAAGCUGAUAAGAUACUUGGAGGUAUAAACUUUCCUCUACAACUGAGAAGGUUAACCUUGAGUGGUUGGAAGCUUCCUUCGAGUGAUAUGUCAAUCGUUGGUUCAUUACCUAAUCUUCAAGUGCUUAAACUAAGAAAUUUCAAAAGGAUAGACUGGGUAACAUCUAAUGGAGAAUUUCGUGAGCUCAGACUUCUGCUAACUGAUCAAUCCGAUUUGGUUUUUUGGAUAAGAAAAGCUAGCCACUUCCUGAGACUCGAGUGCCUAAUGCUUCAUGGGUGUCUUGGUCUACCUGAGAUUCCAAGUAAUAUUUUAUUAUCGGCAGAAAAGAUACAAAAGAAACAAUGGGAUUCAGGAAAGUGUACCUUUCUAGUUCGUGUGAAGCGUUCAUGAUAUAUAUGCUGCUCUUUCAAAUCCAGAGCGGUUUUCAAGUAUCUGCAAUCGGCAUUUACUAAAGAGGCAGAGUGCGGAAGGAAUGCUCUCUCGUUGGAUAACCUCUUAAUUGGCAAAUCACGCAAGGGAGCAUCGAGGAUGUUUUCUGAAACACUGGUCCUGAAAACAAGAGACUGCAUCCGUGUGGAAGAGCGGAUUCCAUUUGGCGAUAUUAACAUAAGACCACGAAAAAGGCUGAUGAAAUCCGAGUUCUAAACCACAUCUGUGCGUGCUGGAAAGUUUCAGA